UGGGGAAUAUUGCGCAAUGGGCGAAAGCCUGACGCAGCAACGCCGCGUGCGGGAUGAAGGCCUUCGGGUUGUAAACCGCUUUCAGCAGGGACGAAACUGACGGUACCUGCAGAAGAAGCCCCGGCUAACUACGUGCCAGCAGCCGCGGUAAUACGUAGGGGGCUAGCGUUAUCCGGAUUCAUUGGGCGUAAAGCGCGCGUAGGCGGGCUGUUAAGUCAGGUGUGAAAACCGGGGGCUCAACCCGCGGCCUGCACCUGAAACUGGCAGCCUCGAGUCUGGUAGAGGAAAGUGGAAUUCCCAGUGUAGCGGUGAAAUGCGCAGAUAUUAGGAGGAAUACCAGUGGCGAAGGCGACUUUCUGGACUUAUACUGACGCUGAGGAACGAAAGCGUGGGGAGCAAACA
Molecule: ribosomal RNA, 402 nt
Filed under: uncultured bacterium
Lineage: Bacteria
Description: bacterial SSU rRNA
Rfam family: Bacterial small subunit ribosomal RNA
Source: RNAcentral